AAGUCCUGUAAAUAUUAAGUUACUGCAAGAUUUGUGAAAAUAUGCUGCUGACCGGAGAGGAAAAAUUGCAGAAGAGAACCACCCCCAAGAGAGAGGCUGCAAUGUGAAACCAGUCACCGAAGAAACUAUGGGAUGGAGGUGCAGGAAACAAAAGUUUACAGUAACAACAUUGGGAAGGAAGAGCAUUAUAUGACCAGGUUUGCUGUUGACACCCUGUUCUUCACGCUGGUAAAUUCACAAAGGCUGGAGAAAGCUCUAACAAAGCUGAGAAGUAUGUUACAACAGCACCUCACCAAGAACAAUGUGUUUUGUUCAACACUGAAGUUAUG
RNAcentral lists this long non-coding RNA (329 nucleotides) under Columba livia (rock pigeon). Its description in RNAcentral is "partial uncharacterized LOC102094503". Lineage: Eukaryota; Metazoa; Chordata; Aves; Columbiformes; Columbidae. The record is from RNAcentral.